RNAcentral lists this ribosomal RNA (253 nucleotides) under uncultured bacterium. RNAcentral describes it as "partial 16S ribosomal RNA". It matches the Rfam family "Bacterial small subunit ribosomal RNA", at positions 524 to 776 of the family's 1533-position model. The record is from RNAcentral.
UACGUAGGGUGCGAGCGUUGUCCGGAUUUAUUGGGCGUAAAGAGCUCGUAGGCGGUCUGUCGCGUCGGAUGUGAAAACCCAGGGCUCAACCCUGGGCCUGCAUUCGAUACGGGCAGACUAGAGUACGGCAGGGGAGACUGGAAUUCCUGGUGUAGCGGUGAAAUGCGCAGAUAUCAGGAGGAACACCGAUGGCGAAGGCAGGUCUCUGGGCAUUAACUGACGCUGAGGAGCGAAAGCAUGGGGAGCGAACAGG